CCUACGGGGGGCAGCAGUGGGGGAUAUUGCACAAUGGGGGAAACCCUGAUGCAGCGACGCCGCGUGUGGGAAGACGGUCCUCUGGAUUGUAAACCACUGUCCCCAGGGACGAAGAUGACGGUACCUGGGGAGGAAGCUCCGGCUAACUACGUGCCAGCAGCCGCGGUAAUACGUAGGGGGCGAGCGUUUUCCGGAAUUACUGGGUGAAAAGGGAGCGUAGGCGGGACUGCAAGUUGGGUGUCAAAUCUACCGGCUCAACCGGUAGCCGCACUCAAAACUGCAGUUCUUGAGUGAAGUAGAGGCAGGCGGAAUUCCUAGUGUAGCGGUGAAAUGCGUAGAUAUUAGGAGGAACACCAGUGGCGAAGGCGGCCUGCUGGGCUUUUACUGACGCUGAGGCUCGAAAGUGUGGGGAGCAAACAGGAUUAGAUACCCCGGUAGUC
Molecule: ribosomal RNA, 440 nt
Filed under: uncultured bacterium
Lineage: Bacteria
Description: partial 16S ribosomal RNA
Rfam family: Bacterial small subunit ribosomal RNA
Source: RNAcentral